GAGGCGUAGCGGCAUCCUAUACAUGCAGUCGAGCGAACAGAUAAGGAGCUUGCUCCUUUGACGUUAGCGGCGGACGGGUUAGUAACACGUGGAUAACCUACCUAUAAGACUGGGAUAACUUCGGGAAACCGGAGCUAAUACCGGAUAACAUAUUGAACCGCAUGGUUCAAUAGUGAAAGGCGGCUUUGCUGUCACUUAUAGAUGGAUCCGCGCCGUAUUAGCUAGUUGGUAAGGUAACGGCUUACCAAGGCAACGAUACGUAGCCGACCUGAGAGGGUGAUCGGCCACACUGGAACUGAGACACGGUCCAGACUCCUACGGGAGGCAGCAGUAGGGAAUCUUCCGCAAUGGGCGAAAGCCUGACGGAGCAACGCCGCGUGAGUGAUGAAGGUCUUCGGAUCGUAAAACUCUGUUAUCAGGGAAGAACAAAUGUGUAAGUAACUGUGCACAUCUUGACGGUACCUGAUCAGAAAGCCACGGCUAACUACGUGCCAGCAGCCGCGGUAAUACGUAGGUGGCAAGCGUUAUCCGGAAUUAUUGGGCGUAAAGCGCGCGUAGGCGGUUUUUUAAGUCUGAUCUGAAAGCCCACGGCUUAACCGUGGAGGGUCAAAUGGAAAAGUAAAACUUGGAAGUGAAGAUGU
Molecule: ribosomal RNA, 641 nt
Filed under: Staphylococcus warneri
Lineage: Bacteria; Bacillati; Bacillota; Bacilli; Caryophanales; Staphylococcaceae
Description: bacterial SSU rRNA
Rfam family: Bacterial small subunit ribosomal RNA
Source: RNAcentral